GAGUUUGAUCAUGGCUCAGGAUGAACGCUGGCGGCGUGCCUAACACAUGCAAGUCGAACGGGGAUUAUAAACGGAAGUUUUCGGAUGGAAGUUUAUAAUCUUAGUGGCGGACGGGUGAGUAACGCGUGGGCAACCUGCCUCAUACAGGGGGACAACAGACGGAAACGUCUGCUAAGACCGCAUACGUCUUUUUGGUCGCAUGACUGAGAAGGGAAAAAAGCAAUCUGGUAUGAGAUGGGCCCGCGUCUGAUUAGCUAGUUGGUAAGGUAACGGCUUACCAAGGCGACGAUCAGUAGCCGGACUGAGAGGUCGGACGGCCACAUUGGGACUGAGACACGGCCCAAACUCCUACGGGAGGCAGCAGUGGGGGAUAUUGCACAAUGGAGGAAACUCUGAUGCAGCGACGCCGCGUGAGUGAAGAAGUAUUUCGGUAUGUAAAGCUCUAUCAGCAGGGAAGAUGAUGANCGUACCU
This 472-nucleotide ribosomal RNA is filed under the name Catonella sp. canine oral taxon 158. Its description in RNAcentral is "bacterial SSU rRNA". It matches the Rfam family "Bacterial small subunit ribosomal RNA", at positions 9 to 480 of the family's 1533-position model. The record is from RNAcentral. Lineage: Bacteria; Bacillati; Bacillota; Clostridia; Lachnospirales; Lachnospiraceae.